CGUGGGCGCUGGAAGACUGAGGGGGGCUGCUCCUAGUACGAGAGGACCGGAGUGGACGCAUCACUGGUGUUCGGGUUGUCAUGCCAAUGGCACUGCCCGGUAGCUAAAUGCGGAAAAGAUAAGUGCUGAAAGCAUCUAAGCACGAAACUUGCCCCGAGAUGAGUCUUCCCUGAGACUUUGAGUCUCCUGAAGGAACGUUAAAGACGAUGACGUUGAUAGGCCGGGUGUGUAAGCGCAGCGAUGCGUUGAGCUAACCGGUACUAAUGAACCGUGAGGCUUAACCUUACAACGCCGAAGCUGUU
This 302-nucleotide ribosomal RNA is filed under the name Salmonella enterica subsp. diarizonae. Its description in RNAcentral is "partial 23S ribosomal RNA". It matches the Rfam family "Bacterial large subunit ribosomal RNA", at positions 2646 to 2925 of the family's 2925-position model. Lineage: Bacteria; Pseudomonadati; Pseudomonadota; Gammaproteobacteria; Enterobacterales; Enterobacteriaceae. The record is from RNAcentral.